This 687-nucleotide unclassified non-coding RNA is filed under the name Hevea brasiliensis (rubber tree). Lineage: Eukaryota; Viridiplantae; Streptophyta; Magnoliopsida; Malpighiales; Euphorbiaceae. The record is from RNAcentral.
AAAUCUUUAAAAUUAUUUUUAAAAAACUUAAUUUUAAUGCGGGAAAAUUAAUAUCUGAUUAGCAUGUGUCGGUGGUGUGUGCAUUCUGCAUACUUGGUCUUUGUUUAGAUUUUUUUGGUUUUCUUGAUGACAGCAGAAUAGUUCUUCUGCUACUUGGCACUUGCAUGGGGAGGGUUUACGUGGGGUCCAUUAGAAACCCACCAAUCACGGGAUGGUGGUCACUUUUGCCUCUACUCUUGGCCAUCUUGAUCGUGCCAUUUGGUGAUCUACUGACCGUUCAUGAGGUCGUGGGAACCUCUCUCCCAUGGCAAUAUAGUAAAUGUAUAUAAAUUAUACCACCAACUAUAGCAACAUCCAUGAACGUGAAUUAGUUGGGAAGAAUUAUGGUUUAAAUUUUAAUUAUUUUCAUUAUAUACUAUUCCUUAAUUAGCAUUGGAGGGUAUUUUUGUCAUUUGGGUGAAAGGAGACAAGCCUUUCUCCCUGGAUUAAUUGGGGAAAAAAAAGUUUCAAGGGGUAAAUUUGUCAGUCGGAGUUGCUACUAUAGUGGCAUCAGCAGCAGCAGCACCGCCACUUCUCAGGCACGUGCUGCUUUUGUAGUUAAGCCCAUAGGUGGGACCGCCUACCCUAGUUGCCGACACUUCAAAAUUGUACUUUUAAUAGUACAUUAAAAAAAAUUAAAUUAAAUUA